GGAUGGCGGCGUGCCUAUACAUGCAGUCGAGCGGAGUUUUGAAAAGCUUGCUUUUCAAAACUUAGCGGCGGACGGGUGAGUAACACGUGGGCAACCUGCCCUUGAGACGGGGAUAACUCCGGGAAACCGGAGCUAAUACCGGAUAACACAUAUCUUCGCAUGAGGAUAUGUUAGAAGGUGGCUUUUAGCUACCACUCAAGGAUGGGCCCGCGGCGCAUUAGCUAGUUGGUGAGGUAACGGCUCACCAAGGCGACGAUGCGUAGCCGACCUGAGAGGGUGAUCGGCCACACUGGGACUGAGACACGGCCCAGACUCCUACGGGAGGCAGCAGUAGGGAAUCUUCCGCAAUGGACGAAAGUCUGACGGAGCAACGCCGCGUGAGUGAUGAAGGUUUUCGGAUCGUAAAGCUCUGUUGUUAGGGAAGAACAAGUACCUGUUGAAUAAGCAGGUACCUUGACGGUACCUAACCAGAAAGCCACGGCUAACUACGUGCCAGCAGCCGCGGUAAUACGUAGGUGGCAAGCGUUGUCCGGAAUUAUUGGGCGUAAAGCGCGCGCAGGCGGUUCCUUAAGUCUGAUGUGAAAGCCCACGGCUCAACCGUGGAGGGUCAUUGGAAACUGGGGGAACUUGAGUGCAGGAAGAGGAGAGCGGAAUUCCACGUGGUAGCUGGUGAAAUGCGUAGAGAUGUGGAGGAACACCAGUGGCGAAGGCGGCUCUCUGGUCUGUAACUGACGCUGAGGCGCGAAAGCGUGGGGAGCGAACAGGAUUAGAUACCCUGGUAGUCCACGCCGUAAACGAUGAGUGCUAAGUGUUAGAGGGUUUCCGCCCUUUAGUGCUGCAGCAAACGCAUUAAGCACUCCGCCUGGGGAGUACGGUCGCAAGACUGAAACUCAAAGGAAUUGACGGGGACCCGCACAAGCGGUGGAGCAUGUGUUUAAUUCGAAGCACGCGAAGAACCUUACCAGGUCUGACAUCUCUGCUACUUCUAGAAGAUAAGAGUUCCCUCGGGAAGAUGACAGUGUGCAUGUGUCGUCAAGCUCUGUUCUGGAAUGUUGGUAAGUCCGCCACGAGCGCACUUGAUCUUAGUGCAGCAUAGUGGCAUCUAAGGUACUGCGGUACAAACCGGAAGAAGUG
Molecule: ribosomal RNA, 1134 nt
Filed under: Bacillus sp. (in: firmicutes)
Lineage: Bacteria; Bacillati; Bacillota; Bacilli; Caryophanales; Bacillaceae
Description: bacterial SSU rRNA
Rfam family: Bacterial small subunit ribosomal RNA
Source: RNAcentral